UUUUCUCCAUGCAGUUACCACUUUCCAUACUACUCCUCUCCUAACGUAGAUUUCUUUCUUUCUGUUAGACUAUAAUCCCCACCUCGUUCCUCUGCACGCCUCCGCAGCCUCCCUCCCUCCCCCCACGUCCCACCUCGCCGGCGUACCUUGGACGGCGCGCUGGGGAUUGCCCCUGUUGCCCAGGGUCAAGUUUCCCCGGCAUCUGAGCCGCGCUUGGAUGGAGGAGUGAGGGACGCCGACCGCCGGUCAUCCUUCUCAAUUCCACCAUGGCGGAUCCGGUGGGAUUCCAAGUGACCUCUACGGCCGGCCUCUGUCGAGGUGUUGAGCGGCCAACUGGUGAUCCGAUCUGACUGACUGACGGGAGAUGAGGCAAACUGGUGAGUCGAUCUGACUGACUGACGGCAGGUCCGGUCCGUCGCCGCCCGGCGACGGUGACUGUUCACCGCAGAUUCCAGGCCGGCAAUAUAAUUCUUGCAGAUCUACCAGAGGAGCAUCCGCUAUUGCUUUGACCACGACGGAUCUGAAGGUACCGGUGGGUACUCAGAUCUGCAAGGAUAUACAGCCGCGCAGGUCUCCACUGCCAGAGUCAUGGCAAGUCGCAGAACCAUGCUUACCGGUGAUGGGAUUCAUCGCGGUAAUUUUGCGCUAACGCCGUGGAUGCGGUGGCACGGUGGGUCGAUAUAGUCCUCGGACCGAGAAGGUUGUAUCUAGCUUUCUCGUCUACUCAUCCCAGCAGAGCUCACUAGCCCGCGACACAGCUACUGUUUGAUCUCCCGUGGCAGAGGCCUAGAUCUGUUCGAUUUGCUGAGGUCUGCGGUGCACUUGGCUGAAGAUAAGUGAUGCAGCUUUGGAUAUUCAGCCAUGGCUGAUGACAAGUGAUGCAGCUCGGACACUCAGAUCAGAUGCGUGACACAGGAUGUCGACUCGGCUCGCAAGAUAUUGGUUUGGAGCAGGCCAGUUAGGUGCAACGGUUGCCCAGUCUUGGAGAUCAAUAUUUCACUUGAACGUUGGUAAAAUAGCACAAGUGAGAUAUGUGGUUUUGAGGAUUGUUUGACAAGAUGAUGGUUUAUUUUUAUUUUUGUUCCUCAGGUAACUAAUAACUAACCGCGUUAUUUUGCGGCUAUUUUAGAAUUAUUAUUCAAAUGUUUAUCAUUGAAAAUUUAGUUGUGUUUGUAUUAGAUGUCUAAGAUUGUAGAUCGUGAUGUACGAUUGCCAUGUUUAUCACUCAAAAUUUUAUUAUAUGUUUUUUCACAAGACAACGGAUUGUGCAUCUUGUGUUUCUAUUAUUGAAAAAUUAGUUGCGAUGAUUAGUAUACUACUCCCUCCGUCCCAUAAUAUAAGAGCGUUUUUUACACUAGUGAGCGUUUUUGACACUAGUGUUCACUAGUGUCAAAAACGCUCAUAUAUUAUGGACGGAGGGAGUAAUAAUUUAGCCUUUUCUCAUUUUGUUAUUUGUUUAACGAACUUUUUCCUACUUCAAACAACCUAGUUCAGCAAUUGCAAACUGAGCCUUAGUAUGCAUAGUUGCAAAAAAUGAUGGCAUGUGCAUAUUAAGCGUUAUUCAAGUAACUGGCAAAAUGAUGUACAUUAGAUAUGCUGUACACUACAUGUCAUGAUUAUCCAAUUAGGGAAAAAUAAGUUUUUGUUAUUAGUACUGAACAUGUCUUGUGAUUCUACGUGGCAUGAAAAUAAGUUUGAUAUCAUUGUGUGAUUCUAGUGUUUAUAUCAUUACAAAAUCGUACAUAUUGUCUGGCAAGAUGAUGGCUUGUACAUUGUUGAUGCAUUUUUCAAGCAACGAGUAGAAUUAACCACAUAAUUUUGUUGUUGUAAAACAUCAUUAAAAAAGCUAUAAUGUUGACUAUUGAAAUUUUGAGGGUAUCUAUGGUUCACACGUUUCUAAUAUGUAGGAAUAGGUAAAACACAUGAAUAUGUAGGAAUAUGGUUUUAUCGCCGACGGUCCCGUCAGUAAUAACUCGGCGUCAGUUUUGACCGGUCAAUGGUGCUGACAUAUGGGCCCAGAAGAUGUACCUGCACACAACAUGCUCGAGGAAAUGCCACAAAGAGAACCGUUGGGUCCCACGUUCAAAACCGUUCUUGUUGACUUUUAGUGCCACAUGGAUCUCACUAGCGGGCCCCUCGUGCCAGAAACCGGUUUAGAUCAGCCGUAAUCAGUCUACCCAGAAACUGGUAGAUUUUCGUAGCCGUGAGUAAAGUGGUUGCUAAAUAGAACCCAUGACUCGAAUUUGGUAGUUUUUUGCACUUCACUCCCAGAAAAGGAAUGGCAAAACUUGUGGUAAAAAAAUUUCAGGAAGUGUUUGACUUCUGUUACCCCCUUCCAAAAAUUUCUCUCCGUUUCCUCACAUAAUGAGUCCCUAUGUUCAACAAGUGUUUGACUUUGGUUACCUCCUUCCACGAUUGUGAAGCUUUAAUGCUAGUUGUACCACAUCUAAAGAUAUCCCUCCCUUGCUGAAUUUUCCAAACCCAUUUUAGAACCAACGCGAUAUUCACGAUUUUGAUAUUUAAAAUCAUAGGAUCCCCAUAUUCUUUAGGAGUACAUACCCUCUCCGACUCAACCAUGUGGUAUUUAAAAAUCUCUCCAGGUCUGUUUGAUAAACCUCAACUUAACAAUGUUCAUCUUGGCGUGCACCCGAUCCCGUAACAGUCGCACCUACAUGGACAAGUACAUCUAUAUGGGAGAGGCUAACAAACAAGAGUUGGUCAAAAUAAGCCUACCCCAGAAGAAAGAAAUUUAGCAGCUCCCCAUUGAUAAUGAUGGCUGUUUUGCUGCCAACUAAAAACUGCAUCCCAUUAGUCUCCAGAAGAGCUAUCUAACCAUCUCCAUUGUUUCAAUGAUUAUUAUAGGGCAAAGGGGCAGAAAUACAGUAUGAAAUUAAAACCUAGCUAAAUCUCAUUUUUUAUGCAAAAAAUCAAGAAGAUUUGGGAUAAUUUUUUAGUGUAGAACAUGUCUAGAUCCUGCAAGAAAUUAAACUGUUCCAACAUAUCAUGACAGACACACGUAAAAUGUCCCCACGUUUGACUAUCAAUCAGCUCCCACAAAUGCACGUUGCUACAAUCUAAUACAGAAUUCUACAUAAGCCAAAUUUGAUUUUACGAGAGCAUUACAAUCUGCACUUAUAUAGUUACAACCAGCAACAGUCAUAGUUGACGGUGGUAGGUGCAUUAAGAAAACUGAAUUAGAUAAGACCACUUCAUUGAGAAGUUUGACUGUGAUGCAACAUGCAAUCAUUUAAUUUAAUCAGUAGUGCUCCAAGGUAUUCUAGAAGUCAGAUGCAGCUUCAAGACAGUAAUAUCUGCCUCUUCUUAUCGUCAACCACAAGAAAGGGUACAAACAGGAAACAAACAAAAAAUUGACUAUUAAAAUUACCAGUUCAGGAGGUAAAAUCAAUCAAUUCUUCAGUUCAAGAAUAGCGGUAUGGGGCAUUGCAAUCUGCGCUCAUAUCCUAGUUACAACCAGCAACACAGACACUCAGAGUUCACGGUGGUAGUUGCAAUAGAUAAGUGCAUGAAAAAAACUGAAUUACAGCAUAACACUUCAUUGAGAAAUUAACUAUGAUGCAACAUACAAGCAUUUAAUUUAAUCAGUAGGGCCCCCAAGGCAUUCUAGAAGUCAGGUACAGCUUCAAGUUAGCUAAGGGUAAAAUCUACCUUUUCUCAUUGUCAGCUAGAACAAAGGGUACAAACAGGAAUCACCCUAAAAGUUUACUAUUAAGAAGACCACUUGAUCAGGAUAUAAAAUCAGUCAAUUCUUCAUUUCAAGAAUUAAUGAUAUAAGGCAUAAAGCAUGUUUAAUGGGCAAAAGGCCAGAAAUGUGACAUUAAACCUAGCCUAAAUCUCAUUCUUUAUGCAAGAAAUCAAGAAGAUUUAGGAUAAUUUGUUAGUGUAAAAUAUGUCUAGAUCCUGCAAGAAAGAAAACCGUUCCAACAUAUCAUGACAGACAUGUAAAAUGGCCCCACAUUUGACCAUCAAUCAGCUCCAACAAAUGCAUGUUGCUACAAUCUAAUAGAGAAUCCUACAAUUAUACGAGAGCGUCACAAUCUACACCAUAUCCUAGUUACAACCAGCAACAGUCAUAGUUGACGGUGUAGGUGCAGUAAGAAAACUGAAUUAGUCAAGACCACUUCAUUGAGAAGUUGGCUGAUGCAAUAUGCAAGGGUUUAAUUUAAUCAGUAGUGCUCCAAGGUGUUCUAGAAGUAAAGGUACUGCUUCAACUCAUCAAAGAGUAAAUUUGCCCGUUCUCAUCGUCAGCCGCAAAAAGGGUACAAGCAGGAAUCAGACAAAAAGAUGACAGCUCAAAAUCAACUUUUAGAAUCACCCUCUUUUUACUAUGAUCCUCGUGAUUGUCUCAAUAGAUCGAUUCCACAAAGCAUAAUAUGCAGUACGUAGUAGCUAGAUAGUAAGGUUCAGAAGAGUAUAUAACAGUUUACAAUAUAUAUUUAUGCCCCUAGACUUUUUUUGUUCAGUUCUCUUCCAUGCCCAUUCCAUGCCUUAGUCCUCUUGUUUCUUCAGUUCUUCUCUCCCAUUCGAGUCCUCCUAUCAACAGAGAAAGUUAGCAUUUGGUUUUUCUUUGCAUGGCAGAUGCAGUAAGAUGAAUGGCAGAUGGCAAAAUGCAGAGUCAUAAUUUGUAGCAAUUAAAUACUGAAUGACAGAUGGCAGAAAUUAUGAAUUGGUUGCAGAGGCAGUAAGGUGAAUGGCAGAUGGCAGACAUUCAGGGGCAAUUCAACAGUGCACAGCAAGCCUAAUACAAUUUACUUCAGAGAGGUAUGUAAGCACCCUUUAUUCACCUCAGAGCUCUCUGAUUCAAAUGUUCUGAGUGAGUGCUUGCAGGAAAUAACUUCCAAGAUCUUACGGAUGAGGGCAACGGCUACAGCAUGUAAAGGGGUACAGACUGUUUUGAUAAAUAAAAUAUAUAUUACCACCUCCCAGAGGAAAUAUUGCUCUGCUGCAUGCUUGUAAAGUGUAAUUGGCAACUCGAGUUCUAUUCAAUGCAAGUUUUGUCUACAGAUCUGUCUAGAUGUUACUACUAAUUUGCUCAUCUGAUGCCUGACGAAUUGACCAAUUGCUGUAUAAUGCUAAGUCGCGAGUUCCGAAUUCUAUAAUCACAACUGCCAAAGUAGUGAUAGUCGCCGGUUAUGAAUUCUAUAAUCAGAUCUACAGCACUGGGAGUUGACAGUUUGAUUUCUAUAUUCAGAUGUCGGGAUAUUAUGACUACUAGCAUGCAGGCCUGUCAGAUCUGAGCAGUCCCGUCAAAUCCAGCAGAACUGGUUGCAGCGAGAGUACGAUCUGCUGCGCCCGGUACGAAAUUAUAUAAUCAAGUCUCGCAGUGCCCGUCAAAAAGCUCCGAUCUCGCACCGGCCGUCAAAAAACAAUCAGAUCUCGCACAGUAGGGAAGAGCGGCGGUCGGAGUUAUGAAUACCUUGCCUGAUCUGUCAUCAGAUCAGGUUGCCGUGCUUGAUGCCGCGGGCCUUUGGCUUCUUGUGGUACCCGUCGCCAUCCGGACCCUUGCGCUUCCCGCCCUUGCACGCGGCGAGGUGGGUGGCCCAGUCAGCACUCGUCAGGGCGAGACUCCUCCCGCAUUUCCAGCACUUCAUGGGGAUCGUCGGCUCCUCGGCUCCUCGGGGGGAACGCC
Molecule: long non-coding RNA, 5647 nt
Filed under: Triticum aestivum (bread wheat)
Lineage: Eukaryota; Viridiplantae; Streptophyta; Magnoliopsida; Poales; Poaceae
Description: long non-coding RNA (TAES_LNC028626)
Source: RNAcentral